UACGGAGGGGGCGAGCGUUAUUCGGAAUUAUUGGGCGUAAAGGGCGCGUAGGCGGCCCUGCAAGUCAAAGGUGAAAUCCCUCGGCUCAACUGAGGAACUGCCUUUGAAACUGCGGGGCUUGAGGCCGGGAGGGGGUAGCGGAAUUCCCAGUGUAGAGGUGAAAUUCGUAGAUAUUGGGAAGAACACCGGUGGCGAAGGCGGCUCUCUGGACCGAGACUGACGCUGAGGCGCGAAAGCGUGGGGAGCAAACAGG
Molecule: ribosomal RNA, 253 nt
Filed under: uncultured bacterium
Lineage: Bacteria
Description: partial 16S ribosomal RNA
Rfam family: Bacterial small subunit ribosomal RNA
Source: RNAcentral